GAAAGGUAGAGGACUUACUCUUCGGAGUGAGAGCGUACACAGGUGCUGCAUGGCUGUCGUCAGCUCGUGUCGUGAGAUGUUGGGUUAAGUCCCGCAACGAGCGCAACCCUGCAUUCAGUUGCCAUCGGUAAGGCCGGGCACUCUGGAUGGACUGCCGGCGACAAGCCGGAGGAAGGUGGGGACGACGUCAAGUCAUCAUGGCCCUUAUGUCCAGGGCGACACACGUGCUACAAUGGCCGGCACAACGGGAAGCGAAGGGGCGACCCUGAGCGGAUCCCACAAAAGCCGGUCUCAGUUCGGAUUGCAGUCUGCAACUCGACUGCAUGAAGUUGGAAUCGCUAGUAAUCGUGGAUCAGCCAAGCCGCGGUGAAUACGUUCCCGGGCCUU
Molecule: ribosomal RNA, 387 nt
Filed under: uncultured Thermovirga sp.
Lineage: Bacteria; Thermotogati; Synergistota; Synergistia; Synergistales; Thermovirgaceae
Description: bacterial SSU rRNA
Rfam family: Bacterial small subunit ribosomal RNA
Source: RNAcentral